UUCUUGUGCCAGCAGCGUCACGGAAAGCAAACGGAGAGGGAUCAUUUUAUGAUCAGUUGCCUUUCUGGGGGAUGGGGGCUUCUUCUGGGGACUUCCUAUGGGGAAGAGAAGGCAGAGCAGGGCACAAAGCGUUUACUUGUCCACCGGGAGGCUUUUUCUGCAGGAGGAGCUGCACAGAGCCAGGAUGGGUGAAAGCGCUCCCUCCUCUCUUAAUCUUUGCAGCAGUUGCAGACCUGACCUACCCACAGUGAGUCAGUGCUAUCAAAGUUGUGCUGUUAGUUGCUGAGACAUUACGAGCUCACAGCUUUUUGCCUAGCCGGCCAGCUCUCCAGCUCCUUGCAGGGAGAGAAGGGGUCUCCUGGCCUGAGGACAGGAUUUCCAAAGCCUCAGCCUGCAGAAAGUGAACAGAAGCCAUUCAAAGGCUGAGCUUUGUGCUGUGGCUGUUAGAAGACAGCAUUCAGCUGGAAGGCAGUUCAGGCAGCAGAGAAGGCUCUAUCACAGAUGGAGAUGCGGCGACACCAGAGAGAGGACCAAGAGGGAAUCCUCUCAACAAGGUCCUGCACCUCAGUAUACUUCGCUUGGCCUUUUGAUCCUAGAAGUGAGCUGGGAGCAAAGAGUUCAAGGAACCAACCCCAGAGAAAUAAGGUGCUCCGAAGGACUGAUUCCAGAGGAAAUUUGCUGAGACUAUUAAUCAGACAGGAAAUUAAUUUAAAAUGAUGUCAUAAUAAUAGCACAUGAAAGAAACACAAAUGCAGCAUAACCUCUAUAAACAGAAAAAGAAUCUGUAUGCUGACACUUGGGUAGGUGCUAAGCUGAAAGGCAACCAGGUGGCCGGCCUGCUGGGUGAGAGUUGUUAAGUGCUGGAUGCCGGGGCCCAAAGAAACAAAGCUCUUCUUGUGCCUGCAGGUGCAAACCUCAUCACGGGUUCAGGGUUUAAGGAAUAUCCCCUGCAUUGAGACAAGGGCUUUGGUCUCUGCCAGAGGUCCGGUGUCCUGCUAAAAGGCCCCAAGGGUCAGCAGUGCUUCUGGACCAUCGCUCCUGGGGUAACGGGACAUUGCUGAGGUAGGACCAAUCCUUCACAAGCCCAUGCCACUACUGCCCAGCCUGUGGAAGUGGUCCAGGUAACUGCCUGUUAGAGCCAAAUUCAUCGAAAUUUGUACAGUUUGAAGAUGAAUACCUGAAGUGCUGCAAGUUAGAUUAAAGCAUAGGCACCAGCAGCGCAUGCCAAGGCUCUGCUUGCAGAACCGUGAAGCAAUGCCAAGCCUCCUGCUUCCAAUUACACAAGCCUCAUACCUUCUGCUCCAGAGACUGCAAGCACAGAUUUGACCACCUUUCCUCACCAGCCAUUUCCGAGGGGGGGUCAGGAGAGUGCUGCGGGUUCAGCCCAGCUUGCGCUGCUGCGGACAAGCUGGUGCGUCCUGGUCACCGGGGAAGUGAUUGGGAAAGAAUGACUUGCGCUAAAUGGUUGCAUCAGCCUUCUGAGCAAUGGGAGCUGACUGUUGGAAGGAGAGGGAUCUGCUGCUGAAUUUCAGCUUGCAGAGCGGAGGGUGCAAAAACGUACUGUUCUGCUAGACUGUGAGCCUGAAGGUCAGCAUCACGCGUGGUGGACAAUCUUGAACUCUUCAGAAGCCGUGAUUUCCUUAGGAGAGCAGCCACUGAAGAAAAGCCAUGCGCAGCGAUACGCUUCAUGGGCUGAGUAGUUAGUGGAGACUGGGAAACUGUCAGUAAAGUUUUAACUGAGGAGCACAGGCUGAAAUAUUUUCUAGCUCCAGACCUGCCAAAGGGUUUCCAGCUCUUGUUUGCAAUUACAGGGAUGAGGUGACUACUUGGACCGUACAAGAUCGGUACACAAAGAGAGAAAUGCGAUGUGCAGCACACAAGGUUGAAACACCCGGUCGUAGCUUCAUUCCAAAGAGGAGGAAUAUUGCUGAAGACUUAGGAGACAGGAGCUGU
Molecule: long non-coding RNA, 1953 nt
Organism: Oxyura jamaicensis (ruddy duck)
Lineage: Eukaryota; Metazoa; Chordata; Aves; Anseriformes; Anatidae
Exons: 6
Source: RefSeq, a predicted model, not a curated record